RNAcentral lists this ribosomal RNA (253 nucleotides) under uncultured bacterium. RNAcentral's name for it is "partial 16S ribosomal RNA". It matches the Rfam family "Bacterial small subunit ribosomal RNA", at positions 524 to 776 of the family's 1533-position model. The record is from RNAcentral.
UACGUAGGGUGCGAGCGUUAAUCGGAUUUACUGGGCGUAAAGGGCGCGUAGGCGGCGUGGUAAGUCACUUGUGAAAUCUCCGAGCUUAACUCGGAACGGUCAAGUGAUACUGCUGUGCUAGAGUACAGAAGGGGCAAUCGGAAUUCUUGGUGUAGCGGUGAAAUGCGUAGAUAUCAAGAGGAACACCUGAGGUGAAGACGGGUUGCUGGGCUGAUACUGACGCUGAGGCGCGAAAGCUAGGGUAGCAAACGGG